This 29-nucleotide small RNA is filed under the name Bombyx mori (domestic silkworm). Its description in RNAcentral is "ovarian small RNA-37802". Lineage: Eukaryota; Metazoa; Arthropoda; Insecta; Lepidoptera; Bombycidae. The record is from RNAcentral.
UUGCAGCCUGCAUCUAUGUAUUGCGCUGC